Molecule: ribosomal RNA, 1955 nt
Filed under: Azana anomala
Lineage: Eukaryota; Metazoa; Arthropoda; Insecta; Diptera; Mycetophilidae
Description: SSU rRNA
Rfam family: Eukaryotic small subunit ribosomal RNA
Source: RNAcentral
UACAAAUGCAAAUAAAGUGAAACCGCAAAAGGCUCAUUAUAUCAGUUAUGGUUCCUUAGAUCGUAUCCGCAAUUACUUGGAUAACUGUGGUAAUUCUAGAGCUAAUACAUGCAAUUAAAGAGGGUAUCACUGCAAAGUGGUCUCUCUGCUUUUAUUAGAUUUAAACCAAUGGGAAGUACUUGUACUUUCAUUUUGAAUGGUUGAACUCUGGAUAAUUUGUUGAUCGUAUGGUCUCGUACCGACGACGGAUCUUUCAAAUGUCUGCCCUAUCAACUAUUGAAGGUAGUGUCUUGGACUACCUUGGUUGCAACGGGUAACGGGGAAUCAGGGUUCGAUUCCGGAGAGGGAGCCUGAGAAACGGCUACCACAUCUAAGGAAGGCAGCAGGCGCGUAAAUUACCCACUCCCAGCACGGGGAGGUAGUGACGAAAAAUAACAAUACAAGACUCACAUCCGAGGCCUUGUAAUUGGAAUGAGUACACUUUAAAUUCUUUAACAAGGAUCAAUUGGAGGGCAAGUCUGGUGCCAGCAGCCGCGGUAAUUCCAGCUCCAAUAGCGUAUAUUAAAGUUGUUGCGGUUAAAACGUUCGUAGUUGAACUUGUGUUCCGCACGGGCUGUACCUAGGACUAGGUAACUAGUACGGUUAUUUGCCUUAUUAUCUCUAUUCACUCUGUGGAUCUGGGAGAGUGUGUGAACGUAUUAUCGGGGUGCGGACACUGCCUUCACGGGUAGCGGUUACACCGAAGUCCACUUCAGUGCUCUUAAUCGAGUGCUGGUUUGGACCGAUACUAAUUACUUUGAACAAAUUAGAGUGCUUAAAGCAGGCUUGUAAUGCCUGAAUAUUUUGUGCAUGGAAUAAUGAAAUAGGACAUCUGUUCUACUUUUAUUGGUUUUUUAGACCAAGAUGUAAUGAUUAAUGGAAGCAGUUGGGGGCAUUAGUAUUACAACGCGAGAGGUGAAAUUCUUAGACCGUUGUAAGACUGACUAAAGCGAAAGCAUUUGCCAAAGAUGUUUUCACUUAAUCAAGAACGAAAGUUAGAGGUUCGAAGGCGAUCAGAUACCGCCCUAGUUCUAACCAUAAACGAUGCCAGCUAGCAAUUGGAUGUAGCUACUACUAUGGCUCUUUCAGUCGCUUCUCGGGAAACCAAAGCUUUUGGGCUCCGGGGGAAGUAUGGUUGCAAAGCUGAAACUUAAAGGAAUUGACGNNNNNNNNNNNNNNNNNNNNNNNNNNNNNNNNNNNNNNNACUCAACACGGGAAAACUUACCAGGUCCGAACAUAAAUGAGUAAGACAGAUUGAUAGCUCUUUCUCGAAUCUAUGGGUGGUGGUGCAUGGCCGUUCUUAGUUCGUGGAGUGAUUUGUCUGGUUAAUUCCGAUAACGAACGAGACUCAAAUAUAUUAAAUAGAUGCAUUCAGGAUUAUGAUAUUGAAGCUUUACUUGCCCUGCUUACUUAAGGCAAAGUCUCUUCACGGGGACUUGUUUUCUGUAUGGUUUGUGGUAUUGUAGAGUCGAGUCAUACCUGCUUGUUUGUCUUAAUACACAAAAUAGACACUUAGCUUCUUAAAUGGACAAAUUGUGUCUAACAAUAAUGAGAUUGAGCAAUAACAGGUCUGGAAUGCCCUUAGAUGUCCUGGGCUGCACGCGCGCUACAAUGAAGGUAUCAACGUGUCUUUCCUAGGCCGAGAGGUCCGGGCAAACCGCUGAACCACCUUCUUGCUUGGGAUUGUGAACUGAAACUGUUCACAUGAACCUGGAAUUCCCAGUAAGUGCGAGUCAUUAACUCGCAUUGAUUAAGUCCCUGCCCCUUGUACACACCGCCCGUCGCUACUACCGAUUGAAUUGUUUAGUGAGGUCUCCGGACGUGAUCGCUGCGACGCCUUCCGGGUGUUACAGUUGCUUCACAGAAGUUGACCGAACUUGGUUAUUUAGAGGAAGUAAAAGUCGUAACAAGGUUUC